RNAcentral lists this ribosomal RNA (495 nucleotides) under uncultured bacterium. RNAcentral describes it as "partial 16S ribosomal RNA". It matches the Rfam family "Bacterial small subunit ribosomal RNA", at positions 28 to 507 of the family's 1533-position model. The record is from RNAcentral.
GACGAACGCUGGCGGCGUGCCUAAUACAUGCAAGUAGAACGCUGAAGCAGGAGCUUUCUCUUCUGGAUGAUUUGCGAACGGGUGAGUAACACGUAUGGAACCUGCCUGUAAGCGAGGGAGAACAAUUGGAAACGAUAGCUAAUACCGCAUAAGAUUUGAUGUUGCAUGAGAUUUACUUGAAAGAUACAAUUGUAUCGCUACCAGAUGGACCUUCGGUGUAUUAUCUAGUUGGUGGUGUAACGGCUUAACAAGGCGACGAUACAUAGCCGACCCGAGAGGGGGGUCGGGCACAACGGGAAUGGGAAACGGGUCCAGACUCUAAGGGGGGGAGCAGGAAGGAAACUUUGGCAAUGGGCGGAAGUCUGAACGGGGAAAGGCGGGUGGGUGAAGGAGGGUUUCGGAUUGUAAAGACCUGUUGUAAGGGAAGAAAGAGUGUGAGAGUGGACAAUUCACACUGUGACGGUACCUUACCAGAAAGGGACGGCUAACUACGUG